RNAcentral lists this ribosomal RNA (274 nucleotides) under uncultured bacterium. Its description in RNAcentral is "partial 16S ribosomal RNA". It matches the Rfam family "Bacterial small subunit ribosomal RNA", at positions 523 to 796 of the family's 1533-position model. The record is from RNAcentral.
AUACGGAGGGUGCAAGCGUUACUCGGAAUCACUGGGCGUAAAGCGCGCGCAGGCGGCCAUUUAAGUUGGAUGUGAAAGCCUACGGCUCAACCGUAGAACUGCAUCCAAAACUAUUUGGCUAGAGUGUGGGAGAGGAAGAUGGAAUUAGUUGUGUAGGGGUAAAAUCCGUAGAGAUAACUAGGAAUACCAAAAGCGAAGGCAAUCUUCUGGAACAUUACUGACACUGAGGCGCGAAAGCGUGGGGAGCAAACAGGAUUAGAAACCCGGGUAGUCC